Molecule: unclassified non-coding RNA, 167 nt
Filed under: uncultured Cladophialophora
Lineage: Eukaryota; Fungi; Ascomycota; Eurotiomycetes; Chaetothyriales; Herpotrichiellaceae
Description: sequence contains ITS2
Source: RNAcentral
UCCUCCCUCAAACCUCGCGUUUGGUGUUGGACCGCGUUGGCUCCUCCGGGACCAACGGGUCUCAAAGACAAUGACGGCGUCCGUGGGACCCUCGGUGCAACGAGCUUUCCGAAGCACGCGUCGAGUCGAAAGGACCCUCCGGGCCGGGCUGACCUUUUCUUUUAUCA